AACGAUUCAUACAAUUUAGUACUCCAUUUAGCCUGAAUGUUCAACUUACAUUAGCAAAGAUGCCGGUCGCACAACAGCCAUGAAUGGAACUAUGGAGGACCUACUCAUACUGCAUAAAAUAACAUCAUCUUGUCAGUGUUGCCUGCCUGAAUGCUCAUCAUCAUCCCUCCACCAUCAACAAGGACAGGACAUCAAUACAUACUCCAUGAUGGGAUACAGUAGAGUAUAGCUUUAACUGUGAAAAAGUAAGAAAUAGAUGGUCACUACGCAAGCACAUUUACUUGAUAGUGCAAAUUAAAGCUAUGCUUGUGGGUCUAAAACAGUGAUAAUGUGAAACUACUGUAGUCUAUUAUAACUGAGUCCUGACUGGCUGACAGUGGGGUGUGGAGAAGCUGCCAUUUAUACUUUACACAGGUUAAACAGUGACCACUGUCUCAUCAAAUUUUCACUUGGUUUUCUCUGCGCAACAGAUUUCAUGUAACUGAUAUUUUCAUGAAUAAUUUGAUCAAAUACACCUUUAUGCACUUUAAAAAACUGAAAGUUAUAAAAAAGUUUUAUAAGUCACUUGGCAGCAUAUUGUGUGAAUUCAUAUGAUUUAAGUUUCAUCCAGACAUCUGUAUUACUUUUGGAUCUAUAGUGUUUUGUUAUGAUUUAAUGUUCCUCUGACUGACUUGAAAGCAACUAUCAUUACACACAAUUUAGCAUUCCUCAUCUUCAGAUGUACAAGAAAAUACUUUGUACUUCUACAUAAGUUACAUAAACCUAUGGUUAUACCAAUUUUCAGCUAAUUAAAAAAUAGGUUGCCACACAGACUUUUGGCAAAAUAAGUUGAUGUGUUACAUAGCAUUUGUUUUGAAAAGGGAAUAUUUAAUUUUUCUGUAUUCUACUGCAUAUGAUGCUGCUAAGCUUUAGCACAUUUCAUAAUCCCUACAUGCUAGAAGCCUAUGUUAAAUAACAAACAUAAUUUGCAUUAA
This is a long non-coding RNA of Cryptotermes secundus, 974 nucleotides long. RefSeq lists it as uncharacterized. The record is from RefSeq and is a predicted model, not a curated record. The transcript has 2 exons. NCBI's taxonomy places the organism in Eukaryota, Metazoa, Arthropoda, Insecta, Blattodea, Kalotermitidae.